GUAUGAUAAGUCUUCCUACAACUAAAGAUAACAAUUGAAAGACUCAUGGAAAAGGGCUUUUUCAAACCCUCCACAUGUCUAUUAAAGAAAUUUCAAAAGGCAUAAAUAAAUAGAUAUUAUCGUUGAGGAAAAAUGCUGGACUUGCGCUAUACUGAUGAAGAGAUCCUUUGGGUUUAAAAUUAAAUGUCCAAAAUAAGUUCUAAUCAUUUUACUUUCAGUUGUAAACUUUUGCACUUGUAACAGAG
Molecule: unclassified non-coding RNA, 245 nt
Filed under: Hevea brasiliensis (rubber tree)
Lineage: Eukaryota; Viridiplantae; Streptophyta; Magnoliopsida; Malpighiales; Euphorbiaceae
Source: RNAcentral